RNAcentral lists this ribosomal RNA (497 nucleotides) under uncultured bacterium. Its description in RNAcentral is "partial 16S ribosomal RNA". It matches the Rfam family "Bacterial small subunit ribosomal RNA", at positions 28 to 507 of the family's 1533-position model. The record is from RNAcentral.
GAUGAACGCUGGCGGCGUGCCUAAUACAUGCAAGUCGAGCGAACAGACGAGGAGCUUGCUCCUCUGACGUUAGCGGCGGACGGGUGAGUAACACGUGGAUAACCUACCUCUUAGACUGGGAUAACUUCGGGAAACCGGAUCUAAUACCGGAUAAUAUAUUGAACCGGAUGGUUCAAUAGUGAAAGACGGUUUUGCUGUCACUUAUAGCUGGAUCCGCGCCGCAUUAGCUAGUUGGUAAGGUAACGGCUUACCAAGGCGACGAUGCGUAGCCGACCUGAGAGGGUGAUCGGCCACACUGGAACUGAGACACGGUCCAGACUCCUACGGGAGGCAGCAGUAGGGAAUCUUCCGCAAUGGGCGAAAGCCUGACGGAGCAACGCCGCGUGAGUGAUGAAGGUCUUCGGAUCGUAAAACUCUGUUAUUAGGGAAGAACAAAUGUGUAAGUAACUAUGCACGUCUUGACGGUACCUAAUCAGAAAGCCACGGCUAACUACGUG